UAAAACGAGUUCUUAUUGGCUCUUUCAUGUUACGUGUCCACAUCUUCAUUUACUGUGGGCGUCACAUGUCCCCAGUUUCGUUAUACUUUGAGUCCACAGUUUAGUUUCUGAGAGUGUUACCUUAUGACGUAUGCCAACGGUAUAAAAGAAAUGUGAACAUUUUGCUGAGAAGGAGUCGAAGGAAAAAGAGAGAGAGAGAGAGAGAGAGAGAGAGAGAGAGAAAGAAAAAAGAUCGCAGGCUUCGAGCGAUCCAGGAACAGCUCAUGAUCGAGAAGGGUAAAGUCUAAUGCUUACCCAAACCCAAAAGAUUGGGUUAAUCAUCAGCACACUGUGCGUUGUGGAGAGGUGUCUGUUCUUCAUGUGAUCCAUAGGUGUGGAUUUCAUGACAGUCAGUUUGUGAAAUCGCUCUUCAUGGACUUCGAAUCAGUAUCCCUCGGAUGGGAUCUUCAGUAUCCGUUUCUUCGUUCGCUAGCCGUGGAAUCUUUGGAAAUCAUCGUGAUCGCCUCAUCGCUGCAUUGUGAACCCACAAGUCUCUCCUCUCACCUAUUUCGUGAAUUACUGGGACUCUCGGAACUGCCACUUUACGACUGUGCUUGAUGUCCUGAGUAUUGCCUUGUCUUGGGGAAGAAGAGUUUGCCAUGAGGCAAAAAGAAAUCAUAAACAAACUGGAGGAAUAAAAAUUAAUUUAUUCCACCAUUGAGAACAUCUACAUGGAGCACUGUUGCAGGAUAGCAACAUCCAAUCAUCAAGGACCUCUACCACACAAGCCAUUUUCUGUUCUUACUGCUGUCAUCAGGAAGAAGGUACAGGAGCCUCAGGACUCACACCACCAGGUUCAAGAACAGUUGUAACCCUUCAACCAUCAGGCUCUUGAACCAGAGGGGGAUAACUUCACUCAUCCCAUCACUGCACUAUUCCCACAACCUGCGACUCACUUUCAAGGGCUCUUCAUCUCAUGUCCUCAAUAUUUAUUGCUUAAUUACUGUAUUUAGUACUAUUAUCAUUCUCCUGUUUUGUAUUUGCACAGUUUGUCGUCUUUUGCACAUUGGUUGCUUGUCCAUUCUGUUGAGUGAGGUCACUCAUCGAUUCCAUUGUGUUCCUUGGAUUUACUGUGUAUGCCCACAAGAAAACAAACAUGGUGACUCAAAGGUACUUUGAUAAUAAAUUAACUUUGAACUUUGAAAACCCAAGACAACCAUUGUGACAAAAGGAAAGCAGUCUUGGUUACAGAAAAAAAGUUUUAAUUGAAAACAAUAUACUUGAGGUUAGUGUAUAUAUGACAAGGAAAAAUGAUUAGUUACAAUAAUUUGUGCAAAAGUUGACAAUUGUAAGAAAUGCUAUGUGCAGAACAUGAAGUGUUAACAAGGAAAGUGCAUUAAAAUACUGAAAAGUAGGUAACAUUCAUUAGAUGAUGACAGUAAUAACUUCACAUGACAAUGAAGUAAUGAUCAGAAUCUUUUAUAACUAAAGUAAUAAACUACAAAAUCCAUUAAAAACUCAAUGUAGUUCUUGAUAAAGUGGUUAUUCAGACAAAAAAUUCACCAAGGUUGCUGCCAAUGCAAUAUUGCUUAGUCUAAAAGUAAAAGACCCAUUAAUACACAUUUCUUGAACAGAAUAAUGCCUUUCCUUUUUAUGAUAACACCAAAUUAACAAUAUUAUUUGUAUUUUUAAUUUCAAAAAGCCUACAUUUGAUGAACAAUGCACAUAUCUAUUAAGCUUUCGAUGUUUUAUAUAUUAGCAUGUCAUUAUACACUUAUACUAUUCGCAGUUCUGUAGCUGAUUCUGACCUCAGCAACAUGAGAGCAUUAGGUAUAUGGAUUUUACAUACAAGCAUAACUCCAUUCUCAAGAUAGAUGUAUAUUCUUAUCAACCAUACAAUAGAGCUAAAGUAAAAGUAUAUACCACUGUAAACACUAAUAAGACACUUCAUGGUCACACCUUUAUCUUCUUGGCCAGGUAGCA
Mobula hypostoma (lesser devil ray) is the source of this 1962-nucleotide long non-coding RNA. RefSeq lists it as uncharacterized. Lineage: Eukaryota; Metazoa; Chordata; Chondrichthyes; Myliobatiformes; Myliobatidae. The transcript is spliced from 2 exons. The record is from RefSeq and is a predicted model, not a curated record.